CCUAAUAUCUAAUCUAACCCUACUAUUUUCUCUUUUCUGGUUGUAAGCCACUUCCCCUUGUCCAGUCACACUCUAAAGGGACUGGCCUUGCUGGGAGAGCAGAUUGGAGCAUGGACUCCCUGUCCUGCAGAUCAAAAUUCUCCUGCUGUGCACCGAGAAAAAUGGUAUUUUCAUGCAAAGGAUGCCUGGAUCUGUAGAACACCUACAUGAAGCCAUGUGAAUGUCUGUAAUUCAGUGCAGUUCAAGGCUGUGGGAGCUGCUGAGUGCUCACAAUUUUCUCCUCAGUAGGAACGGUUAGAGAAAUACAUAAAUAAAAAUGUAGGGUUAGAAAUGCCUUUUUUUUUUUUUUUUUUUUCCUUCCUUUUGCAUGCAGUUGCCAGUGGAUGAAGCUGGAUGACCUGUCCUGUUUUAUGGAGGGCCAGCAGGCAGCACCUGAUGCUUCCUGCAGGGGUGGAAAAAGCAGCCUGAAGCACAGGUGAAGGAGUAAAUCACCAUGCAGGGUGGGGAAAUGACACAGCUGGGAGGAUAAAAUGAAAGACUGUAAAUAAAGGGCAGAUUCCUGUAAUUUUUGUCCAUUACAAGCCAGGAUCUCCCUGGCUCUGGAUGACGCAGCCUUGGCUCCAGAGCCCUAAAAUGGGUGAUGUGUCUUCUGCAGGCAAAGGAGCUGGGAAGAGUCACUGCCCCUGGAGAUCUGCCCUUGGCACACGGCAGGCAAGAGGAGGAGGAUCCAAGUCUUGGGUGAGGGGGAGAAAAAUGAAGAAGAAAAGAAAUGAAGAAAUGAAAUCAUCCUUUAUGACACACACACCGCCCCGGUGAACUGUCAGGAGAACAUGGUGUUUUAGACCUGUGACCCCAGAACAUUUAGGAACAUAUUUUUUUAAACUUGUGACCCCAUAACCUAUAGGAACAUAUUCAGCUCUUCCCCAGGAUAAGAAAUCACCUCCCUGCAGCCAGUCCUGGAGGCACCAGUGAUUCCAGCUGCCCCAGGCAGCACUGGGGAGUGGUGGGAGAGCAGCUGCCACUGGGGAAGCACCAAAUUCCCACUGCCAGCAGGGUUUGGUGGGUGCUUUGCCAGCUCCCUGUGCCUUUUCCCUGUCUGUGCUGCCCACCACCCUCCACAGGACCCAAGGGCAGCAGGGAUCCCAGCCACAACCAUGAGUUUCCAUGGCUGUUUCAAAGCUUGGCAAGGAAAAGUGGUGGAAAGCACUUCUAACAAGCGUGUUAGGGGUUUGUUUUUUAAUAUAACUCUGCCUGAAAUGAAUUUGGUUAUUUUGGAAGGGAAAUAAUAACUCAAACGCAUAA
Molecule: non-coding RNA, 1302 nt
Organism: Taeniopygia guttata (zebra finch)
Lineage: Eukaryota; Metazoa; Chordata; Aves; Passeriformes; Estrildidae
Source: RefSeq, a predicted model, not a curated record